RNAcentral lists this ribosomal RNA (413 nucleotides) under uncultured microorganism. RNAcentral's name for it is "bacterial SSU rRNA". It matches the Rfam family "Archaeal small subunit ribosomal RNA", at positions 330 to 745 of the family's 1478-position model. The record is from RNAcentral.
GUGCAGCAGGCGCGAAACCUUCGCAAUGCGGGAAACCGCGACGAGGGGACUCCCAGUGCCUACGCUCAGCGUAGGCUGUUCCCGAGCCUAGAAAGCUCGGGGAGUAAGGGCUGGGUAAGACGGGUGCCAGCCGCCGCGGUAAUACCCGCAGCCCGAGUGGUGGCCACUAUUAUUGGGCCUAAAGCGUCCGUAGCCGGCCCGGUAAAUGCCUGGGUAAAUCGUGAGGCCUAACCUCACGAAUUCCGGGUAGACUGCCGGGCUAGGGACCGGAGGAGGGAGAGGGUACUCCAGGGGUAGGGGUGAAAUCCUGUAAUCCCUGGAGGACCACCGGUGGCGAAGGCGCUCUCCUAGGACGGGUCCGACGGUGAGGGACGAAAGCCAGGGGAGCGAACCGGAUUAGAUACCCGUGUAGU